RNAcentral lists this long non-coding RNA (1657 nucleotides) under Mytilus galloprovincialis (Mediterranean mussel). Lineage: Eukaryota; Metazoa; Mollusca; Bivalvia; Mytilida; Mytilidae. The record is from RNAcentral.
CUAAGAACUAUGUUCAUAAAAGAGCAGUGCCAUAUUUAUAUAGUAUUUUUGCAACUGAUUUGCUUUUAAUUAAAAAAAGAUAGCACUAAUUUUAUUUUGACAAAUAAUGUAAUUGCAAUACUGACCGGUGCUAGCACAUUAAUGCUGGCUGUUCUCAUCAAAAUCAUUAGCAUGGGAGAGUUUUCUCCCUUAUAUCAGAAAUUUCCCAUUCUUCAGAUAUUGUUAGAGUUAUCCCCCAUUGAUUGUGUAUAUGUUGUUGUAAUUAAAGAUGUAUUUAUUAUUGUUAAAUUGAUUGUGCAAUAGAGAUUCAUUCACUUUUUUAAUAGUGAUAGUUGUGUACAUUUUCUAAUUAAUGUUUAAUUAGUAAAUUGGUACCAUGAUAUGAAGGUUAGGAAUUGGUACCAUGAUAUGAAGGUUAGUAAUUCAAACUAAGGGGGAUUAAAGUUUAAUUAGUAAAUUGGUACCAUGAUGUGAAGGUUAGGAAUUCAAACUGAGGGGGAUGUACCAUGCUAUGAAGGUUAGGAGUUCAAACUAAGGGGGAUUUUUCAAAACAAAGUUGAGGUCCCAAUUGCUGCUAAAGUUGCAACUCAAACUGAAUAUUUGAAGUUUUAGCUAGAUACUAAAAUUGACUUUCAGAAUAUUUGCAAUUUUACUUACAUAAAGAAAUGAACUAUUUUUAAGGAGGAUAUUUUCAAUCUAUUAAAAUAUUCAUCAUGUUGUUUAGUAGAGAAAAUUGCUUGAUAAAUAUAAGGUCUUAAUUAGAUCUAUAAUAACAAGCAAAAGGGUUGUUAGUAUAUGAGAAAGUCUUAGGCAUAUCCGUGGUAACAUACCAAACAAAACGGUUGCUUGUCAAAGCAGUUUCCAUGGUAAUAUUUUGAGCAAGAGAUUUGCUUGACUAUGAAAAUUAAAUCAGGAGAGAUAACUCAGUCAUAAGUAGGUUGUGAAACAAAAUCUUCAAAUUCAUUUCUGUCCAAGCAAAAAACAUUUUUUAAUUUCGAUAAUGAAAAGAACAAGGAGAGAGAAAAAACUUUCACCAUAUUACAAAAGCUGUUUAUACAUUUAUUUAAUAUAUUUGAUAUUUGUUGAGUUCUGUUUUCUUACAUCAUGCAAAUGCUACCAGGGGCAUACCUAGUGUAAAUUUUGAACAGUUUCCUUGGUUUUAAGACUGAAAUUAGUAAUUUUUCUCUUCAUAAUAGAUAAAGGGGAUUUGACCAUAGGUAAACUACUGUCUGCUUAAUUAACAGAAAGUUUAUAUUUCUACACACACAUUUCUAAAUAUGUAAUAUUUCCAUUAAAAGUUUUGCUUGGACAGAAAUGACGUUUUGUUAUAGUAGUUAAGAAUAAUCUAUAUUUUUAUAUAAAGUUCCAUUGCCAUCAUAUUAUUUUGACAUUGUUUUUAAAUAGCUUAUAUUAUAGAAUUUUGGUGCUGUUAUGUAAUCACGGUUUUGUAAAUACAUUUUAUAUUUGUGCUAGUUUUUAUCUCAAAAUACACUAAAAUUACAUAACAUUCAUAUGUCUAAAUCACCUUGGUACACAAACAUUACAUACCAUUCUUGUGUUUAAAUCAAUUUGGUACACAAUUCAUGAGUGUAAAUCACUUGUGUACACAAACAUUACAUAAUAUCUCUGUUUGAAAUCAAUUUGAUACACAAUUCAU